AAAAAGGAACACCGAUGGGGCUUUUUGUGUAGACCUACACCUUUGGAAACGCCUCAUAGGGUAACUAUGUGGUUUCCUUUCCUCGCAGAACUACAUGUUAGAUCUGUGGGAAAGAACAAGACAGAG
This 126-nucleotide small nucleolar RNA is filed under the name Camelus bactrianus (Bactrian camel). Lineage: Eukaryota; Metazoa; Chordata; Mammalia; Artiodactyla; Camelidae. The record is from RNAcentral. RNAcentral also lists the same sequence under 1 other name.